GGUUGAACGGGUCACUCGUUUGGG
This 24-nucleotide non-coding RNA is filed under the name Arabidopsis thaliana (thale cress). The record is from RNAcentral. Lineage: Eukaryota; Viridiplantae; Streptophyta; Magnoliopsida; Brassicales; Brassicaceae.